This 907-nucleotide ribosomal RNA is filed under the name Crepidotus applanatus. RNAcentral's name for it is "partial large subunit ribosomal RNA". It matches the Rfam family "Eukaryotic large subunit ribosomal RNA", at positions 36 to 929 of the family's 3401-position model. The record is from RNAcentral. Lineage: Eukaryota; Fungi; Basidiomycota; Agaricomycetes; Agaricales; Crepidotaceae.
UAGCAUAUCAAUAAGCGGAGGAAAAGAAACUAACAAGGAUUCCCAUAGUAACUGCGAGUGAAGCGGGAAAAGCUCAAAUUUAAAAUCUGGCAGUCUCUGAUUGUCCGAGUUGUAAUCUAGAGAAGUGUUACCCGCGUUGGACCGUGUAUAAGUCUCCUGGAAUGGAGCGUCAUAGAGGGUGAGAAUCCCGUCUUUAACACGGACUACCAAGGCUUUGUGGUGCGCUCUCAAAGAGUCGAGUUGUUUGGGAAUGCAGCUCAAAAUGGGUGGUAAAUGCCAUCUAAAGCUAAAUACAGGCGAGAGACCGAUAGCGAACAAGUACCGUGAGGGAAAGAUGAAAAGAACUUUGGAAAGAGAGUUAAACAGUACGUGAAAUUGCUGAAAGGGAAACGCUUGAAGUCAGUCGCGUUGGCUGGGAAUCAACCUUGCUUUUGCUUUGGUGUACUUUCCAGUCGACGGGUCAACAUCAAUUUUGAUCGGUGGAUAAGGUCGUGAGGAAUGUGGCAUCUUCGGAUGUGUUAUAGCCUUGUGUCAUAUACAUUGAUUGGGAUUGAGGAACUCAGCACGCCGAAAGGCCAGGUUUCGACCAUGUUCGUGCUUAGGAUGUUGGCAAAAUGGCUUUAAUCGACCCGUCUUGAAACACGGACCAAGGAGUCUAACAUGCCUGCGAGUGUUUGGGUGGAAAACCCGAGCGCACAAUGAAAGUGAAAGUUGAGAUCCCUGUCGUGGGGAGCAUCGACGCCCGGACCAGACCUUUUGUGACGGAUCCGCGGUAGAGCAUGUAUGUUGGGACCCGAAAGAUGGUGAACUAUGCCUGAAUAGGGUGAAGCCAGAGGAAACUCUGGUGGAGGCUCGUAGCGAUUCUGACGUGCAAAUCGAUCGUCAAAUUUGGGUAUAGGGGCGAAAG